AGCUCAGCUGGUUAGAGCUCUCGGCUCAUAACCGAGUGGUCGUAGGUUCAAGUCCUACA
RNAcentral lists this transfer RNA (59 nucleotides) under Proteus mirabilis. Its description in RNAcentral is "tRNA-Met". It matches the Rfam family "tRNA", at positions 9 to 63 of the family's 71-position model. From Rfam's summary of the family: Transfer RNA (tRNA) molecules are approximately 80 nucleotides in length. Their secondary structure includes four short double-helical elements and three loops (D, anti-codon, and T loops). Further hydrogen bonds mediate the characteristic L-shaped molecular structure. tRNAs have two regions of fundamental functional importance: the anti-codon, which is responsible for specific mRNA codon recognition, and the 3' end, to which the tRNAs corresponding amino acid is attached (by aminoacyl-tRNA synthetases). tRNAs cope with the degeneracy of the genetic code in two manners: having more than one tRNA (with a specific anti-codon) for a particular amino acid; and 'wobble' base-pairing, i.e. permitting non-standard base-pairing at the 3rd anti-codon position. RNAcentral also lists the same sequence under 1 other name. The record is from RNAcentral. Lineage: Bacteria; Pseudomonadati; Pseudomonadota; Gammaproteobacteria; Enterobacterales; Morganellaceae.